Molecule: long non-coding RNA, 260 nt
Filed under: Mytilus galloprovincialis (Mediterranean mussel)
Lineage: Eukaryota; Metazoa; Mollusca; Bivalvia; Mytilida; Mytilidae
Source: RNAcentral
CGCAGAUGCAAAAUAUCAUUUACAAAUAAUUUCAACUAUCUCCCAAAAAGAGCAAAUAUUGAUAAAAACAAAAUCCUGACAAAAGAGAGACGAAAGAUACCAGAGGGGCAGUCAAACUCAUAAAUCGAAAAGAAACUGACAACGCCAUGGCUAAAAAUGAAAAAGACAAACAAACAAACAAUAGUACACAUGACACAGCAUAGAAAACUAAAGAAUAAGCAACAUACACACCUUCAAUAUAUGUACAAACAUAAACCCCA